RNAcentral lists this ribosomal RNA (460 nucleotides) under uncultured bacterium. RNAcentral describes it as "partial 16S ribosomal RNA". It matches the Rfam family "Bacterial small subunit ribosomal RNA", at positions 338 to 795 of the family's 1533-position model. The record is from RNAcentral.
CCUACGCGAGGCAGCAGUGAGGAAUAUUGGUCAAUGGGCGCGAGCCUGAACCAGCCACGUAGCGUGAAGGAUGACUGCCCUACGGGUUGUAAACUUCUUUUAUAAAGGAAUAAAGUGAGGCACGUGUGCCUUAUUGCAUGUACUUUAUUAAUAAGGAUCGGCUAACUCCGUGCCAGCAGCCGCGGUAAUACGGAGGAUCCGAGCGUUAUCCGGAUUUAUUGGGUUUAAAGGGAGCGUAGAUGGGUUGUUAAGUCAGUUGUGAAAGUUUGUGGCUCAACCGUAAAAUUGCAAUUGAUACUGGCAGUCUUGAGUACAGUUGAGGUAGGCGGAAUUCGUGGUGUAGCGGUGAAAUGCUUAGAUAUCACGAAGAACCCCGAUUGCGAAGGCAGCUUACUAAACUGUGACUGACAUUGAUGCUCGAAAGUGUGGGUAGCAAACAGGAUUAGAUACCCUGGUAGUC